AGGGUUGUAGUUAAUUAUAACAUUUAAUUUGCAUUUAAAAAGUAUUGAUUUAUCAAUCUACCUUA
RNAcentral lists this transfer RNA (65 nucleotides) under Megaselia spiracularis. Its description in RNAcentral is "tRNA-Ala". It matches the Rfam family "tRNA". From Rfam's summary of the family: Transfer RNA (tRNA) molecules are approximately 80 nucleotides in length. The record is from RNAcentral. Lineage: Eukaryota; Metazoa; Arthropoda; Insecta; Diptera; Phoridae.